This 383-nucleotide ribosomal RNA is filed under the name uncultured Glomeromycotina. RNAcentral describes it as "SSU rRNA". It matches the Rfam family "Eukaryotic small subunit ribosomal RNA", at positions 569 to 958 of the family's 1831-position model. The record is from RNAcentral. Lineage: Eukaryota; Fungi; Glomeromycota.
AGCAGCCGCGGUAAUUCCAGCUCCAAUAGCGUAUAUUAAAGUUGUUGCAGUUAAAAGCUCGUAGUUGAAUUUCGGAAUCAAUUUAUUGGUCGUGCAAUAGUACGUACUGGUUUUAUUGGUUUCUCCCUUCUGAUGAACCAUGAUGUCAUUAAUUUGGUGUUAUGGGGAAUCAGGACUGUUACUUUGAAAAAUUGGAGUGUUUAAAGCAGGCUCACGCUUGAAUACAUUAGCAUGGAAUAAUGAAAUAGGACGUUUGAUUCUAUUUUGUUGGUUUCUAGGUAUCGACGUAAUGAUUAAUAGGGAUAGUUGGGGGCAUUAGUAUUCAAUUGUCAGAGGUGAAAUUCUUGGAUUUAUUGAAGACUAACUACUGCGAAAGCAUUUGC